AAGCUUUUUCUUCACGCAGCCCUCUCUAAAGCCCACUACACUCCCAGGCUUACCGUCUUCAAAAGGGUAAAAAACCAAUAUCAAACAAAAUUCCACCAAUCUUGAAUUCAUUCUCCAAAAACAAUGGGUUCUCUUCUUCUUCUACUCAUGAAAUCCUUCACUUUCUUCAAUCCCAUCUAUUUCUAAAAUUACCCAUUACCCUGAAAUCCUGAUUUUGAUCUUCUUCAAUAAUCAUGUAUUUAUCGGAAAAGCCUCGCCCCAUCCAUUUCUACAAGGAAGAACUUCAGCCUGCCACCAGAGAUAGCAUGAUUAUUGAAGUUGUCUCAAGCAAUGGUGAUCUACCACCUCAUCAGCACCAUCUUCACAACCCUCAUCAGCAACAGCCGCCUCAGCAGCCGCAGCAACAGCAACAGAUGAUUCUAGGCGAGAGCAGUGGCGAGGAUAAUCAUGAAGUGAAAGCUCCUAAAAAGCGAGCUGAGACAUGGGUACAAGAUGAAACGAGAAGCUUGAUAGCUUUUCGCCGAGAAAUGGAUCGUUUGUUCAAUACUUCUAAGUCGAACAAGCACUUGUGGGAGCAAAUAUCUGCUAAAAUGAGGGAAAAGGGAUUUGAUAGAUCUCCAACUAUGUGUACUGACAAGUGGAGAAACUUGUUGAAAGAGUUCAAGAAGGCUAAGCAUCAAGAUAGAGGAAGUGGGUCUGCCAAAAUGUCUUAUUAUAAGGAGAUUGACGAGAUAUUAAGGGAAAGAAGCAAAAAUGCCCAGUAUAAGAGUCCCACUCCUACUAAAGUUGAUUCCUACAUGCAAUUUGCUGAUAAAGGCUUUGAUGACACAAGUAUAUCUUUUGGACCUGUGGAAGGUAUGCCAUUGUCACUGACUUAGAAGCAUUAUAUUUCAUAUUUUAUAUUUGGACUUCCUCUCUCUCCAUUUUUAUGGUGGUUUUUUUUUUCCUGGGAUUUGUUUGUUUGUGGCUGAGUCUCUGCCAGCCUUCACUUCAUCGCUCUCAUAACAACUUGGCAACCAACAUUAUAAUGAGUCUACAAGAUUAACCAAUCAAAAACUUAUCCAGCUUAUACUGACACUGUUAUAUAUAUAUAUAUUAUUUUCUUUCAUUACACCCGGUUUUGGUUACAUAUCUAGAAAGAUAGGGUUGUUAAAUCCUUUUCAACUACAUCCCUCCACUUUAUCUUAGGUCUACCUCUUGCUUUCUUUUUCUCGUGCAAUUUCAAUAUGCUCAACUUUCCAUACCAGCACAUUUACUGUUCCACAAUGCAGUGCACAUGUCCAAAUUGAAACUAUCAGAGUCUCCCUUCUUUCAAAAAUUGAUUGUAUCUUUCAAAAGAGAAAACAACAGUAAUAUCAUCAGUAAAUACCGCAUUCAGUAAUAGUGAGUCUUUCAUGGGAAGCAGAAGCUUAGAUGAAGAUUGUAUUAUUUGUCUAAAUAUUUUGAAUGCUGUUCCUGUAAAUUCUUUCUUUUUGGUAGUACUAAGCAUCAUUAUCCUUCAGGCUAGAAUUCAAAGCACCUGUCCUCCCAGUUCUCUAUAAUAAUUAAAAAGUGAGUUUAUUUAUUCAAAAACAAUUUCCUGUACCAAUUGGCAAUUCUUUUUGCAGAAGUCACAACCGGAGCUUUGCUUAUUUCUUUCUCUAGUGGCAGAUCUUGGCUUCUACAAGUCUUUAAUGGCCCACUAUAUGUUCUAUUAUGCCUUGGAAUUCUGAAUUUCUUCAUUGAAGAGUGAUAAAUAUUUGCAGUGAGCGAGAGGAAAUUGAUUCUGUAUCAUUUGCUAAGCACUCUUAGUAGAAAUGUUCAAUUGCCACUAGAAGUCAACAUCACUUUCCUUAAAGUCCUACUUUAUAUAAACAUCCAGACCACUAAAGGUUCAUCAGCUAUGUCCCAUCUGUCCUCCCUUCUGGUACCAUAUGCUGUAUAUGUUCUUUAAACGUUUCCUGAGAACCUUCCACAAUUGCUUCCCCAAAUGCUAAUGCACCAGAAGGAGCCUAACUUUCAUAAACAAGUUAUUGAUGAGAGAAAAAAGAUGCUUCAUGAUAGUAUUUUAAAACAGUAGUUAAGGAAACAAAGUGCAUCAACAGUUCAUUUUAGUAAUUCAUAACACCAAACAGGCUUUUGGUUUGUUGACUGUUCAUUAGUAGCUAGGGAUGAUAGUUGAAUUAGUGAAGUUCCAUUAUCUGUGGCUUAUGCCCAAUGCAAUAUGGUGUCCUUGCAAAAUUUUCCAAUUUAUAUGUAGUUUUCCUCUUAUACAUUUUUAUAUUUGUGGAGCACUCUUCUACUUUCUUGGUGUGGAUAGGACCUGGUUAAAAGAUAAACCAAUAAAAUGUUAUUAUCUCUUGGACUAUAUUCUAUAUUGGAUGUGUAUUCUAUCCCUUGGGAAAGCAAUUCCACUUUCCCAUGUUCAUCAAAUAAAUUAGGCAUUCUUUUCCUUAAGAGUUUCAUGGGUGUUUGUAUGCAUUCUUAUAUUGUUGUCUAUCCCUGAGUGGAUAAUAUUGGGGAAGAAAGAAUUUAGAUUUCAUCUUCAGGCACUCUUUCGGAAUCAGUUGGCCACCUGGUGAUUCUAGCACAUGUUGUUUUAUGCAACUUUUCCUAUUAGUUUUAUUUCAAAGACAUGCAUUUCCCUUGUUGAAGUUCCUAGGUGUGCAGUCAGUGGCUGGAUAUUUGCCACUGAUAUUAUAUUAAAGAAUUAUUUAUUUUUUUGCACUCUCCAAAUGCAUUCUCAAUCUAUUCCACUAUCACCAACUUUCUGAGUGGAUAGUAUUUUGUGAAGAAAGAUUUUAGAUAUUACCUUCGAGCAGUCUUCCUGAAUCAGUUGGCCAUGUUGUGGUGCUACCUACUUUUUCUAUGACCCUCUUCCUAUUAAUUUUAUUUUAAAGAGUUAUGCAUUUCCCUCGUUGAAGUUCCUUGGUGUGCAGCUAGUGGCAGGCCAACUCUCAACCUUGAAAGACGUUUGGAUCAUGAUGGACAUCCUCUCGCCAUCACUGCAGCUGAGGCAGUUGCAGCAAGUGCAGUUCCUCCAUGGAAUUGGAGGGAGACUCCCGGAAAUGGUAAGUUUCUAAAUUAGAUCUAAUUGUUGUCUAGGAUGUAAAGUUUUCCAGUGUCAUUAUGACUUGCCAAAAUGAACCUGUUUUAAGCCAGCCCCUGCGAUCCUGAGUUUCUGGCUCUGAACUCCCAAAAUGAAUCUGUUUUAAGCCAGCCCCUGUAAUCCUGAGUUACUGGCUCUGAACUCCCAUGAUGGAGAUGCCAGUUUUUUGUUGGUGUAUAUUUUGUGUUGACUUAUUUUAAAAUCCCAUCAAUUCUCCCAUCAAUUCUCUCAUUUGGUAGGUGCUGAGAGCCAGUCAUUUGGUGGAAGAGUGAUAACAGUUAAGUAUGGGGACUAUACAAGAAGAAUUGGUAUUGAUGGCACAGCGGAUGCCAUCAAGGAGGCAAUCAAGUCGGCUUUCAGAUUAAGGACUAAACGUGCAUUUUGGUUGGAGGAUGAAGACCAGAUAAUUCGUAGUCUUGACAGGGACAUGCCUGUUGGGAAUUACACUCUUCAACUUGAUGAAGGUAAUUGAUGCCGUAUCACUUCCAUGCAUUCAUAGUCUUUUUCCUCAGUAGCUUUUAACUUGUGAAUUUGAGAGUUGAUGAAAUAAAGAACCACUGGCAUAUAAGAUUGUACUAUAGGAUGCUAAAUAUGACUUUGACACCAAUUUCAGGAUUAGUUGUCAAAGUGUGUUUAUAUGAUGAUUCGGACCACUUGCCAGUGCAUACAGAGGAAAAAAUAUUUUACACUGAAGAUGACUACCGUGAUUUUCUGACUCGCCGGGGUUGGUCAUGCCUAAGGGAGUUUGAUGGAUAUAGAAAUAUUGAUAACAUGGAUGAUCUUCGUCCAGGUGCUAUUUAUCGUGGAGUGAGUUGAUAUAUUAUUCCAUUUUCAUAGCUUGGAGCGUCCUGAAGUGAUUGUUAUGUCAUAAAUUAACUGUAUCACGAAAUUGUGUAUAGAGAGUGCUGUAAUACGUUGAAUGGACUGGGUUGCAUACGCUCAUUUAUUGUAAAUAGUAUCUCCCACAAUGAACCUUAGAUUAUCCUACCCACCAGAAGUUUGUGCCUGAAACCGAUGCCCUUUUUCCCGCUAGGCCAAUUUGGUUUAAGGCCCCCAGUCAAUGAUGGUUUAGGACCUUAAACCAAGUUAGCCAUAUCCACCCAGGCUUGGC
RNAcentral lists this unclassified non-coding RNA (4199 nucleotides) under Hevea brasiliensis (rubber tree). Lineage: Eukaryota; Viridiplantae; Streptophyta; Magnoliopsida; Malpighiales; Euphorbiaceae. The record is from RNAcentral.